UACAGAGGUGGCAAGCGUUGUUCGGAAUUACUGGGCGUAAAGGGCGCGUAGGCGGUUCGUUAAGUCCUGUGUGAAAUCCCUCAGCUUAACUGGGGAACUGCGUCUGAUACUGGAUGGCUUGGAUUCGGGAGAGGAAUGCGGAAUUCCAGGUGUAGCGGUGAAAUGCGUAGAUAUCUGGAGGAACACCGGUGGCGAAGGCGGCAUUCUGGACCGACAUUGACGCUGAGGAGCGAAAGCCAGGGGAGCAAACGGG
Molecule: ribosomal RNA, 253 nt
Filed under: uncultured bacterium
Lineage: Bacteria
Description: partial 16S ribosomal RNA
Rfam family: Bacterial small subunit ribosomal RNA
Source: RNAcentral